AUGAAAUUGUCAUGUGAUUAGUCAUGUGACAAUUAUAUUAAAAAGGGGUCUUUAUCCUUUUGAAGCUUCAAGAAAAAUUAGAUAAGGAGAAGACAAAAGAUGAAGAGCAAGAGAAAGGGGCCAUUUCGGCCAAGACCAUGGAAAUUAGGUGCUUUAAAUUUUGUUCCAAAAAUUAUUUUCUUGUAGUAUUUCCACUAAUUCAAGGGUCCUCUACAACGUAGUAUAAUUGUUUCGGAAGAUAAGUCAUCCGUUUCAUUGUUUCCGCACUUUGGCCAAGUGAAGAAGUUGAAGAGAAAGGAUUUUGGGCGAAACGGGAAGUGAAUUUGGAAAGGCGUAAGGAGCGUAUAAGGUACUGACGACAGAUUCGCUGACCCGCCUGCCUAGGACAUCUAUUGUGCUAUUUUGGAGCGCUCUUUUGUCCAGAGCCUAUACCUUGGUACAGUCUGCUGCUGUUGUAUAUAUAUAUGCUAUUCAGGGGUACGACGGGGUCCUGUCCCGUCUUAUGAUUCUGUUAUGUUCUGUAGAGGUCUGUAGACAUGCAUGUGGGUUCUGUAUAUGUUUUGGGUUGUUAUGAUCUGUGAUGGCCUUAUCGGCUUCCACGUACAAAAUCUGUUCAUCUGUGAUAUUUAGUAGCACCAACUAACUUUCAUAUUGAUACCUACUGCUAAUAUGCUGGUUUGGGGUAUUGGGUACGUUUGGGUGUCCAGCACGGACACUAGUCGCGGCCUACGGGGUUGGGUCGUGACAAGGACCCUUGAAUUAGUGGAGAUACCACAAGAAAACAAUUUUUGGAACAAGAUUUCCCAUGGUCAAAUUUCCAUGGGGUUGGCCGAAACCCUCAAGCUUCACUCUCUUCAUCUUUUUUUUUUUUUUUUUUUGUUUUUCUUCUUUUGUCUUGGAUUAGAAGAUAAGCCCUUAUAUAUAUAUAUAUAUAUACUCAAGCAUGUGAGGGGCACAUGCCCCUCUCUAGAAAAUUCUUGCUUUUUCUUGAAAUUAAAAGAAGACUAAUGUCUUCUUAAGAAGUUUUGGCCCCUACCUUUUUAAAAU
This is a long non-coding RNA of Lycium barbarum (goji berry), 1047 nucleotides long. RefSeq lists it as uncharacterized. The transcript is spliced from 3 exons. The record is from RefSeq and is a predicted model, not a curated record. NCBI's taxonomy places the organism in Eukaryota, Viridiplantae, Streptophyta, Magnoliopsida, Solanales, Solanaceae.